Molecule: ribosomal RNA, 548 nt
Filed under: uncultured bacterium
Lineage: Bacteria
Description: bacterial SSU rRNA
Rfam family: Bacterial small subunit ribosomal RNA
Source: RNAcentral
UGGGGAAUUUUGGACAAUGGGCGCAAGCCUGAUCCAGCCAUGCCGCGUGCAGGAAGAAGGCCUUCGGGUUGUAAACUGCUUUUGUCAGGGAAGAAAUCCUCUGGGUUAAUACCUCGGAGGGAUGACGGUACCUGAAGAAUAAGCACCGGCUAACUACGUGCCAGCAGCCGCGGUAAUACGUAGGGUGCGAGCGUUAAUCGGAAUUACUGGGCGUAAAGCGUGCGCAGGCGGCUUUGCAAGACAGAUGUGAAAUCCCCGGGCUCAACCUGGGAACUGCAUUUGUGACUGCAAGGCUAGAGUGCGGCAGAGGGAGAUGGAAUUCCGCGUGUAGCAGUGAAAUGCGUAGAUAUGCGGAGGAACACCGAUGGCGAAGGCAAUCUCCUGGGCCUGCACUGACGCUCAUGCACGAAAGCGUGGGGAGCAAACAGGAUUAGAUACCCUGGUAGUCCACGCCCUAAACGAUGUCAACUGGUUGUUGGACGGCUUGCUGUUCAGUAACGAAGCUAACGCGUGAAGUUGACCGCCUGGGGAGUACGGCCGCAAGGUUG